UGGGGAAUAUUGCACAAUGGGCGCAAGCCUGAUGCAGCCAUGCCGCGAGUGUGAAGAAGGCCUUCGGGUUGUAAAGCACUUUCAGCGGGGAGGAAGGCGUUAAGGUUAAUAACCUUGGCGAUUGACGUUACCCGCAGAAGAAGCACCGGCUAACUCCGUGCCAGCAGCCGCGGUAAUACGGAGGGUGCAAGCGUUAAUCGGAAUUACUGGGCGUAAAGCGCACGCAGGCGGUCUGUCAAGUCGGAUGUGAAAUCCCCGGGCUCAACCUGGGAACUGCAUUCGAAACUGGCAGGCUAGAGUCUUGUAGAGGGGGGUAGAAUUCCAGGUGUAGCGGUGAAAUGCGUAGAGAUCUGGAGGAAUACCGGUGGCGAAGGCGGCCCCCUGGACAAAGACUGACGCUCAGGUGCGAAAGCGUGGGGAGCAAACAGG
RNAcentral lists this ribosomal RNA (429 nucleotides) under Chloroflexota bacterium. RNAcentral's name for it is "Chloroflexi bacterium partial 16S ribosomal RNA". It matches the Rfam family "Bacterial small subunit ribosomal RNA", at positions 355 to 776 of the family's 1533-position model. The record is from RNAcentral. Lineage: Bacteria; Bacillati; Chloroflexota.